GUUUAACCCUGAUGGUAGUGGAAAUCCUGUCAUUGCAUAUCAAAUUGUUGAUGUGAUUAGCUUCGUUCCUCGCAAUGACAGAUUGAAACGGACAGCAGGAAUUGCA
This 106-nucleotide small RNA is filed under the name Flavobacterium dankookense. RNAcentral describes it as "Flavobacterium sp. ARSA-19 Flavo-1 RNA". It matches the Rfam family "Flavo-1 RNA". The record is from Rfam by way of RNAcentral. Lineage: Bacteria; Pseudomonadati; Bacteroidota; Flavobacteriia; Flavobacteriales; Flavobacteriaceae.